GGACAGUGACGAUUUUCAUCAAAGGUCUCGUUCGUCGUAAUAGCCCUAAUUGGGCCUUGCCGACCAAUCUGAUAUAUUCUGAGUCC
This 86-nucleotide small nucleolar RNA is filed under the name Phaseolus vulgaris (common bean). RNAcentral's name for it is "snoRNA snoZ43". It matches the Rfam family "Small nucleolar RNA Z43". Rfam says of the family: Z43 is a member of the C/D class of snoRNA which contain the C (UGAUGA) and D (CUGA) box motifs. Lineage: Eukaryota; Viridiplantae; Streptophyta; Magnoliopsida; Fabales; Fabaceae. The record is from Rfam by way of RNAcentral.